GGGCUUUUCCAUUAGUUCUU
Molecule: unclassified non-coding RNA, 20 nt
Filed under: Dictyostelium discoideum
Lineage: Eukaryota; Evosea; Eumycetozoa; Dictyosteliales; Dictyosteliaceae
Source: RNAcentral